Molecule: small nucleolar RNA, 112 nt
Organism: Cornus florida
Lineage: Eukaryota; Viridiplantae; Streptophyta; Magnoliopsida; Cornales; Cornaceae
Product: small nucleolar RNA Z152/R70/R12
Exons: 1
Source: RefSeq, a predicted model, not a curated record
GAUGCCAUGAUGAGAUGAGACACCAUAUAUAUAUAUAUAUAUGGUGUGUUUUAGGGCAGUGGAUAGGGCCGUGAGCCUUUUUCAUAAACGACUUCUCCUUCCACUCAGCACA